This 432-nucleotide ribosomal RNA is filed under the name uncultured bacterium. RNAcentral's name for it is "partial 16S ribosomal RNA". It matches the Rfam family "Bacterial small subunit ribosomal RNA", at positions 29 to 507 of the family's 1533-position model. The record is from RNAcentral.
AACGAACGCUGGCGGCAUGCCUAACACAUGCAAGUCGAACGAGACCUUCGGGUCUAGUGGCGCACAGGUGCGUAACGCGUGGGAACCUGCCCUUAGGUUCGGAAUAACUCCCCGAAAGGGGUGCUAAUACCGGAUAAUGUCUUCGGACCAAAGAUUUAUCGCCUUUGGAUGGGCCCGCGUUGGAUUAGCUAGUUGGUAGGGUAAAAGCCUACCAAGGCGACGAUCCAUAGCUGGUCUGAGAGGAUGAUCAGCCACACUGGGACUGAGACACGGCCCAGACUCCUACGGAAGGAAGAAGUGGGAAAAAUUGGCCAGUGGGCGAAAGCCUGACCCAGCAAUCCCGGGUGAGUGAUGAGGGCCUUAGGGUUGUAAGCUCUUUUACCCGGGAUGAUAAUGACAGUACCGGGAGAAUAAGCUCCGGCUAACUCCGUG